GAAACCCUGACGCAGCAACGCCGCGUGAAUGAAGAAGGCCUUAGGGUUGUAAAGUUCUGUUUUCUGGGACGAUAAUGACGGUACCAGAGGAGGAAGCCACGGCUAACUACGUGCCAGCAGCCGCGGUAAUACGUAGGUGGCAAGCGUUGUCCGGAUUUACUGGGCGUAAAGGAUGCGUAGGCGGAUGUUUAAGUGAGAUGUGAAAUACCCGAGCUCAACUUGGGUGCUGCAUUUCAAACUGGAUAUCUAGAGUGCAGGAGAGGAAAGCGGAAUUCCUAGUGUAGCGGUGAAAUGCGUAGAGAUUAGGAAGAACACCAGUGGCGAAGGCGGCUUUCUGGACUGUAACUGACGCUGAGGCAUGAAAGCGUGGGGAGCAAACAGGAUUAGAUACCCUGGUAGUCC
Molecule: ribosomal RNA, 402 nt
Filed under: uncultured bacterium
Lineage: Bacteria
Description: bacterial SSU rRNA
Rfam family: Bacterial small subunit ribosomal RNA
Source: RNAcentral